Molecule: long non-coding RNA, 2148 nt
Filed under: Homo sapiens (human)
Lineage: Eukaryota; Metazoa; Chordata; Mammalia; Primates; Hominidae
Description: zinc finger protein 781
Source: RNAcentral
CCGGUUGCGGGGAGGUUGCUUGAAUUCUCUCAGCUGCGCCCCCUGACCUAGUAGUCGCUGGCACAAGCUGCGCCCGGAGACGUGGGAGCGUUCUCUUGUUUUCCGAGUGCGCGGACUCAUCGGGUCACAGUUUAUGCUUUUAUGACGCGGGAACACAACAGAUUUGAGAAGCCUCGGAUUAAGGAAUAAUUUAUGAAGCUCCGUUGACUACCGUGGAGAGAUCAUAAUUUGGGGUUCAAGAUUCCAGUCUGUGUUUUUCCAGAGGUGCCCUGAGGAGCAGGGAAGCAUGGCUAUUGUGGAUGUAAAAGCCAUGUUCAAGGAUUGGUGACAUUCAGGGAUGUGGCUAUAGAUUUCUCUAAGGGAGAGUGGGAAUGCCUGGGCCCUGCUCAGAGAGACUUGUACAGAGAUGUCAUGUUGGAGAACUACAGCAACUUUGUGUCACCGGAUAUGCUGUCUAGAUAUGAGACCAAGGAGUUAACUCUUAAGAAUGGCACUUUUGAAAAGGAAUCAUUAAAAUGGAAAAUAAUAGAAAGUGUCAGAAGUUCUUGCCUUGAGGAAUCUUUUUUGGGAAAUGAUUGGAAAUGCAAAGGACUCUUUGAGAGACAACAGGAAACUACAGAGGAAUAUUUCAGGCAUGUAACUGUGCCAUUUGAAAAAAUAUCCGAAUUCAUCCAGCCUACAUAUUUUCUUCUAAAUCAAAUAAUUCAUACUGGAAAGAAACUCUAUGAACAAAAAAAAAAAUGAGAAAAUGUUACUCAACAGGGAAGAAUUCAUAUCAGUGACAAGCUUGACGAAAUGUGUGGGAACACCUCUGUAUUUUGCACAAAUCAUAUGAAACAUCAGACAAAUUUUAAUGCAAAGAAAUGCAAUGUAUUUAAAGAAUGUGGCAGAGACUGCUUGUAACUUUCAACUAACUCAAUAUCAAAUAAGUCAUGCUAAUCAGAAACCCUAUGAAUGUCAGAUAUGUGGAAAGCCCUUUAGAAAGCGUGCCCACCUUACCCAACAUAAUCGAAUUCACACUGGUGGGAAACCAUAUGAAUGCAAAGAAUGUGGGAAAGUGUUUAUCUGUUGUUCAACAUUGAUUCAACAUAAGAGAACUCACACUAGUGAGAAACCCUAUGAAUGUCUGGAAUGUAGAAAGACGUUUAGGCGGAGUGCACAUCUUAUUCGACAUCAAAGAAUUCAUACUGGUGAGAAACCUUAUAAAUGUAAGCAAUGUUGGAAGGCCUUUGCUUCUGUUUCUGAUUUAAUAGACAUCGGAAAAUUCACACUGAUGAGAGACUUUACGAAUGUACAGAAUGUGGGAAGGCAUUUAACAAUCGCUCAACUCUUAUUCAGCAUCAGAGAAUUCACACUGGUGAGAAGUCCUUUGAAUGUAAGGAAUGUGGCAAAGCAUUCAAUAAUUGCUCAACACUUACUCAACACCAGAGAACUCAUACUAAUGAGAAAUCUUAUGAAUGUCAGGAAUGUAAAAAGGCUUUUAGGCAAAGUGCACAUCUUACUCAACAUCAAAGAAUUCAUACUGGUGAGAAACCAUAUGAGUGUAAGUAAUGUGGGAAGGCUUUCACUUGUGUUUCUGAUUUUAAUAGACAUCAGAGAAUUCACACUGGUGAAAAACCCUAUGAAUGUAAAGAAUGUGGUAGAGCUUUUAACAAUUGUUCAGCUCUUAUUCAACACCAGAGAAUUCACACUGGUGAGAAGGCUUAUGAAUAUAAGCAGUGUGGGAAGGUUUUUGUCUCCUGUCCAACACUUGUUCAACAUCAGAGAACACAUACUAAUGAAAAACCUUAUGAAUGUCAGUAAUGCAAGAAGGCCUUCAAGCAUAAUGCACAUCUAAUGAGACAUCAGAGAAUUCACAGUGGGGAGAAACCCUAUGAAUGUAAUGAAUGUGGGAAUGCCUUCAUUUGUUUUUUUGAUUUUAAUAGACAUCAGAGAAUUCACAAAGGAGAGAAACCCUAUCAGUGUAAAGAAUGUGGGAAGGUUUUUAAUAAUUAUCCAACUCUUACUCAACAUCAAAGAAUUCAUACCAGUGUGAAACCCUAUGAAUGUAAGGAAUGUGUAAAGACCUUUACUUGGCUUUCAAACUUGAAUAAACAUCAGACAAUUCACACUGGUGACAAACCCUAUGAAUGUAAAGAUUGUAAAAAA